UACGUAGGGUGCAAGCGUUAUUCGGAAUUACUGGGCGUAAAGCGUGCGCAGGCGGCUUUGCAAGACAGAUGUGAAAUCCCCGGGCUUAACCUGGGAACUGCAUUUGUGACUGCAUGGCUGGAGUGCGGCAGAGGGGGAUGGAAUUCCGAGUGUAGCAGUGAAAUGCGUAGAUAUGCGGAGGAACACCGAUGGCGAAGGCAAUCCCCUGGGCCUGCACUGACGCUCAUGCACGAAAGCGUGGGGAGCAAACAGG
This 253-nucleotide ribosomal RNA is filed under the name uncultured bacterium. Its description in RNAcentral is "partial 16S ribosomal RNA". It matches the Rfam family "Bacterial small subunit ribosomal RNA", at positions 524 to 776 of the family's 1533-position model. The record is from RNAcentral.